Molecule: long non-coding RNA, 841 nt
Organism: Carassius carassius (crucian carp)
Lineage: Eukaryota; Metazoa; Chordata; Actinopteri; Cypriniformes; Cyprinidae
Exons: 4
Source: RefSeq, a predicted model, not a curated record
GACUAUAUAUGACUUUGCUCGAGGCUUGGCCACACAUGCCAAUUUAUGUGUACCUUCGUCUCUUCCAUUUCAACCGUUUGAAGGAAGGGUGGCAGUCUCAACACCUGAGAAUAUUAACAAAGCGAAACAGGGAAAACUCAAUGUAUCUCUUCCUUGGUUGAUUGAGAAGACUAAUCUAAAUUCGGAAGGACAUCCAAUCACUGGAUCAUCGGAACACUGUUUUCUAUGACAAAUUGCAUGAAUCCAACACAAAAGACCCACAGGAUGUUCUCAGAAAAAUCAGUCUGGUGCCAGAACUACAGGGUUGGCUGAACAGCCAAAUUGCUGAGCAAUUUUUUGCAGACUUGAGAAAAAACAACUACUUUCUCAAUAAUAUGGCUCCCUCGACACACAUUUUCGGUAUGCAAAACAUUAUCCAUCACAAAAAUGCAUCAGCAAACCAGAAGCUGUUGGAGGGACAGCUACAGCGUGGUCACAUACCUCACAGCAUUGGAAAUGUUGUCCUGUCUGACUUUGGACAAGCAAUUUUGACCCUACAUUCCACAGACAAGCAAAUUUCUUCUGGCUUGGGCUUAGUACCUGAGCCUGUGUCAGCAUUGAAACAACAUGUAGUUGAGAACAUUGAAGUGUGUGGACCUCAAUGCGAAGAAGUCAAAAAUUGCAAAAACAUUGCUGCCUGCAGAACUUCAUGGUCUUUAACAUACCAUUCAGCUCAGAAAGAACUGCUCAACUACGUACUGGACAUAGAGAGGCCUGGGAAUGAGCUGAUUGUUCGAACAGCAAAGGCAUGCCUGACCCGUGCUGAUUUUUGGACCUUGGGCUUAAACAGAGGCAUGGAGUC